GGAAUAUUGCACAAUGGGCGCAAGCCCGAUGCAGCCAUGCCGCGUGUAUGAAGAAGGCCUUCGGGUUGUAAAGUACUUUCAGCGGGGAGGAAGGCGGUGAGGUUAAUAACCUCAUCGAUUGACGUUACCCGCAGAAGAAGCACCGGCUAACUCCGUGCCAGCAGCCGCGGUAAUACGGAGGGUGCAAGCGUUAAUCGGAAUUACUGGGCGUAAAGCGCACGCAGGCGGUCUGUCAAGUCGGAUGUGAAAUCCCCGGGCUCAACCUGGGAACUGCAUUCGAAACUGGCAGGCUAGAGUCUUGUAGAGGGGGGUAGAAUUCCAGGUGUAGCGGUGAAAUGCGUAGAGAUCUGGAGGAAUACCGGUGGCGAAGGCGGCCCCCUGGACAAAGACUGACGCUCAGGUGCGAAAGCGUGGGGAGCAAACAGGA
Molecule: unclassified non-coding RNA, 427 nt
Filed under: plant metagenome
Description: partial contains 5.8S ribosomal RNA, internal transcribed spacer 2, and large subunit ribosomal RNA
Rfam family: Bacterial small subunit ribosomal RNA
Source: RNAcentral